Molecule: long non-coding RNA, 438 nt
Filed under: Carica papaya (papaya)
Lineage: Eukaryota; Viridiplantae; Streptophyta; Magnoliopsida; Brassicales; Caricaceae
Description: long non-coding RNA (CPAP_LNC000086)
Source: RNAcentral
AUGCACAUGCAAUGUCAGCGCAGGAUGUGCCCACUGUGUGCACGUCCCGUCUGGGCGAAGCAUGAGGCAUGGUUUGCGCGAGCAUCCCAUUGCACGGAGACGGGCGCGACUUCGGGAGCCCUGUGCAUGCGCCAUCCGCGUGGUAGACCUAUGCACAUGGGCCUGCGCACAGUAGGCCUGCGUGGAUGAGCCUGCGCGCAGUGCCUUACUCAUUGUAGGGCCUACGCACGAGACAGGCAAGGUCUGUGCGUGCCUCGUUUGGGCAGCAUGUGCUGCCCCCAAGUGGUGUGCUACCGCCAGCUUAAGUGGCAUGAAGCCAUCGCUUGGGUGACGUGCCACCAUCAUUUGGGCGGCAUGCCUCCAUUUUUUAUGUCACCAUCAUGCCACAUCUUCGAUUUGUCGGUCACAUCCGUUAGUCAUCACAUCACAUCUUUUCCA